RNAcentral lists this ribosomal RNA (253 nucleotides) under uncultured bacterium. RNAcentral describes it as "partial 16S ribosomal RNA". It matches the Rfam family "Bacterial small subunit ribosomal RNA", at positions 524 to 776 of the family's 1533-position model. The record is from RNAcentral.
UACGUAGGGCGCAAGCGUUGUCCGGAAUUAUUGGGCGUAAAGAGCUCGUAGGCGGUUUGUUACGUCUGCUGUGAAAACCUAGGGCUUAACCCUGGGCCUGCAGUGGAUACGGGCAGACUAGAGGUAGGUAGGGGAGAAUGGAACUCCUGGUGUAGCGGUGGAAUGCGCAGAUAUCAGGAAGAACACCGAUGGCGAAGGCAGUUCUCUGGGCCGUAACUGACGCUGAGGAGCGAAAGCGUGGGGAGCGAACAGG